This is a long non-coding RNA of Heterocephalus glaber (naked mole-rat), 3623 nucleotides long. Lineage: Eukaryota; Metazoa; Chordata; Mammalia; Rodentia; Bathyergidae. The record is from Ensembl.
AGAUGAGAAAACUGAAGUCCAACAAUGCUGAAGAACAAGCCCUAAGUAUCAUAGCCAGGAUUGCACACAAAUUUUUUUUUCCUUUCCAAAUUCUGUGCUUUCUGUAUCACAAUGUAUAGACUUUUCUUUGGAGGAUAAUUUAGUGAUGUACCUUUCUCUUCCCAUUUUUAGCACUUCACCCUCCCACCCCUGCCCGCCCAUGACGCCUGAGCGAUUUUAUUUCCGCAGGCGGGAACUGAGCGGGCAGAGGACUAGGUGCUCAGGGCCGAGGGGACUCCAGUCCGGAGGAGGGCUGGGGCAGCCUGAACUUGGAGAGGUCCAGGUUCAGGUCCAGGAAGGUGUACGUGCUGUAGUUGCGGCGUUGCAGGUUCCUGUAGGUGGUGUUGUCGAAGGGCUCGGCGGGCGCACGGGCCUGGGCGGACUUAUUUUUGGUGGACUCUGUUUCUUGGGCUUUGGCGGCAGCUCCUUUUCAUUCUUCCCCGACUGUGGCUCAGACGUGAGCGUGAGCGGACGCAUGUAGCUCUCGGGCUACGCCCUGCGCGUCCACGUCGCCUGAGGACCCGCCCCUUUUAAAAUUUAUUUACAUCACCUUUUAUUUACUAUACUCUAACCUCAUAAACUAUUUAGCAUUUCUCUUAUUUAGCUUUAUAAUAGAAUCCCUAGUUCUUUUAAAAAAACUACAUUUAACCUCCGUAAUUCUAUACCCACUACUUUAUUUGGUAGCCUUCAGUAACAUGACUUCUGUUUCCAUCUUUCCAUCCAAACACUCUGCAAAGGGUGGUUUCUAAAACACAUGGGUAUAUUUAAUUUGUAUUCCUACUGGACCUCACCAUUGUGCUUGCACUUUUUUUUUCCUUUUUCAGUAGUAGGGAUUGAACCUGGGGCCUUUAUGCUAAGCUAUGUCCUCAGUCCUUUUUGUCAAUUUGAUACAGUGUUAAGUCACUACAUUGCCCAGGCUGGGUUUAAACUUGUGAUUUUCCUGCCUCAGCCUCCCAGAGUGCUGGGAUUAUAGGCACCACCAUGCCUCUCUUGGUUGUUGGGCUAUCGACCACCUCUUGCUCCUCUGGUGGUUACCUUUUCUUUCUUUCUCUCUUUGAAUGAUCAACAGUGGAAAAAUUUGUGCACUAUGCCGGGAAGCGCCAUCAGCACUCACAGUUACACAGUGGUUGGACGGACAUCAGUGCAUUUCCUCAACUCUGAUUAUCCAAGAUGUAUUGACGUGCUGUAUCCUUGGUGUGGGUGAAGAAGAACUUCCUGUGGAGAACAACCCCACCUGGAUCCCAUGGGUAAUGUUUGUGGAACUGCUUCUGCCUGUUGGACAGCUCCCAGCCUGGAGACAGACUCCUGAGGCCAUUCCUGUUUCAGGUGUUCUACCCUGGAUCCUUUCCACCUGGACAAGCUCCAAGGGCCCCUACAGCUAAUUUUCCCAAUUUUCUCCCAUGGCUAUAUAUCUCUUCAAUAACCAGAAAAAAGAAUAUAUUUUCACAAGUGAUGGACUCCCCAUUGCUGAGACACAAAUCCUGCAACCUACAACUUCCAGAUAAAGACUGCUGUUCCAGAAGAAUGUGCUUUACAAGACUUCAGAUUGUGACAGUUUCUAAUCCUGGAACUUCUGCUGCCCCACUGACUGGUUCAAAGGACUUACUUCUUACUGAUGACCCACUCACAAUAUCCCCUUAGCAAGCAGUCAUGUAUAAACAGAAUCCAGCACUUGUCUAAAUUUGUUCAAAAGAAGUUACGUAAUAACAAAGCCAACAGAAAAUUAUUCAAAGUAAGUCACUUUACCUCAUCCCAUUAGUCCCCCUCUUUGUCUUUAAAAAAUAAUCUUCCUUACCUUUGAGGGGGCACUUGUACAAUUUCUAAAGAAAUCUUAGCCAGUUAAUGUUUUUCAUGCAGAUUCAUCGACCUCUGCAUGAAUGAAGAGACAGAGGACAAGCAAGAACACUUUGAGAACCUACUGGGUACUGUAAACCAACAAAUUAUAAGCAAGGUUAAAAUAAAAGCAAAGACCAUUUUCAUACAGGUACCAAAUAGAUUUGUGUGGUGGAUAAACUAAUGGUCAACUUGGAACACUCAGCUGAACGGAAUCAGCAUGGUUCUGGGCUUGGAAGACCCACCUGAGGAUUGUUGCUAAUGGCAUAAAAAGAGAACUAGAGGGAAAGAUCAUUUGCUAUUGAUUAUCUUGGAGAAGCUUGCUGAGGCUGGUUUUCCUGAUAUAAACUUGGCUGUUCUCAUCAGAGGAGGAGCUUGAGUCCUGUCACCUUGGAUGGCUACUGUUCUUGUCAGGGGAGCUCUGAUCUUCACCUUGAGCGUCACUUCCUGGGUCCAGUGCAGAUCCCUCAGCCUAGUGUCACAGAUCCUUCACCCUGUUGACGCAGACUUUCUAGCUUCCACCACUGGCCUUUGGACCUUCUCAGUGCAGAUCCUUGAUAUGGACUUGCAUGAGACAUUGCCUUGGGCUCUGGGCCUUCAGUGGGACUCAUGGAGGACAUUGCCAUAGAACCCAGACUGUUGACUGGAUUCUUCAUGUCUCUGUUGUGUGGACAGAUCUCUUGCCCUCCUUUGCAUUUGACUUUUUAGGUGAAUAUUUUAAAAUAAUCCUGUAGAGCACAGGUCCUGGCAACAGGGCUGUGAAUGGCUGGCGCUUGCUUUCAAAGGUCACCCUCGAAGCAGAGCCAAUGGCCAUGUUCGGAGGCUAGGGAACCACCAGGAGGUGGAGGGGUCACCCAGAGAUGAACUUCAGCAAGCAGAUUGAGCAAUACUCCCUGAGUGCCAGGCAGACACUGACCUCUUCCCACGAAUACUAUAACCAAGAAUAUGUCCUGUCUUCCUGAGGUAUGCAGUGCCAUGAGGAAACAAAGCAUGAACAGAAACUAUUUUAUUGGGCAAGUGAAAUGAAUGGAUACUUCACAGAGGAAGAAAUACAAAUGGCCAACAAAUAUAUGAAAAAAUAUUCAACAUCUCUGGUCAUUAGAGAAAUGCAGAUUAAACCAAUCCUAAGAUUCCAUAUUACUCCAGAAAGAAUGGCAAUCAUCAAGAAAUCAAAAAAUAACAAAUACUAUUGAGGCUGUGGUGAAAAAGGAACCCUCCUACCCUGAAAAAGGAAACCUCCCACACUGUUGUUGGGAAUGUAAACUUAUAUAAGCAUGAUGAAAUCGAUAUGGAGAUUUCUCAAAGAACUAAAAUUAGAAAUUCCGUAUGACCCAGCUUCCUCCUUCUAGUUAUCUUCCCCAAAAAGCUUAAGACAUCAUACUACAGCAAUACUCUAUGUGAACACCAAUGUUUAUAACAGCACAAUUCAUAAUGAAUAAAUCCUGGAAGCAGCCUGUACACCCAUCAAUAGACAAUUAGAUAAAGAAAAUGUGGCAUCUAUACAUAAUGGAAUACUACUUAGCUAUAAAGAAGAACAAAUUUGAGACAUCUGUAGGAAAAUGGAUGCACUUGGAAAAUAUAAUGUUGAGUGAAAUAAACCAUGCAUACAAACUUAAAUACCCUAUGGUAUCUCUCAUUUGAGCAAGGCAAAGUACAAAACUAAGAGAAAAAUAAAGGAAGAGUAGAAGAAGACAAGGGGAUGGAUCUUUUGCAAAUGGGAAAGCAUCCAAGAGACUAAGGGGGGGGGGGGG